AGUGCGCUUCGUUCGGUGAGGCUCUUGCGUGAACACAGGCCACUGAUCUGACGACAUCGAGAGAUGCCCAAGGUUAGGACAGGCACCCUCGGCUUAAGGGGGCUGCCCAAGGUGGCUGCACUACGACUACGUCACGCAAUGCCGAAGCUCUGACAUGGAAGCGCGUU
Molecule: small RNA, 167 nt
Filed under: Leucobacter sp. G161
Lineage: Bacteria; Bacillati; Actinomycetota; Actinomycetes; Micrococcales; Microbacteriaceae
Also listed under: 1 other name
Description: M-box riboswitch aptamer (ykoK leader)
Rfam family: M-box riboswitch aptamer (ykoK leader)
About the family: M-box riboswitch, also know as ykoK leader is described as a metaloregulatory RNA that sense divalent metals and function as a genetic control element of genes related to divalent metal transport in bacteria.
Source: Rfam by way of RNAcentral